This 416-nucleotide ribosomal RNA is filed under the name uncultured bacterium. RNAcentral's name for it is "bacterial SSU rRNA". It matches the Rfam family "Bacterial small subunit ribosomal RNA", at positions 1001 to 1414 of the family's 1533-position model. The record is from RNAcentral.
UCGAAAGGCAGGAGUGCCUGCAAGGGAGCGCGGAGACAGGUGGUGCAUGGCUGUCGUCAGUUCGUGUUGUGAGAUGUUGGGUUAAGUCCCGCAACGAGCGCAACCCUCACCUCUUGUUGCCAUCAGGUCAUGCUGGGCACUCUAGAGGAACUGCCCCGGUCAACGGGGAGGAAGGCGGGGAUGACGUCAAGUCAUCAUGCCCCUUACGUCCUGGGCUACACACGUGCUACAAUGGCCGGUACAAAGGGAUGCCACACCGCGAGGUAGAGCUAAACCCAAAAAGCCGGUCUAAGUUCGGAUUGGAGUCUGCAACUCGACUCCAUGAAGGAGGAAUCGCUAGUAAUCGCGUAUCAGCACGACGCGGUGAAUACGUUCCCGGGCCUUGUACACACCGCCCGUCACACCACGAAAGCCAG